RNAcentral lists this transfer RNA (77 nucleotides) under Woeseia sp. RNAcentral's name for it is "tRNA-Met". It matches the Rfam family "tRNA". Rfam says of the family: Transfer RNA (tRNA) molecules are approximately 80 nucleotides in length. Their secondary structure includes four short double-helical elements and three loops (D, anti-codon, and T loops). Lineage: Bacteria; Pseudomonadati; Pseudomonadota; Gammaproteobacteria; Woeseiales; Woeseiaceae. The record is from RNAcentral.
CGCGGGGUGGAGCAGUCCGGUAGCUCGUCAGGCUCAUAACCUGAAGGUCGUAGGUUCAAAUCCUACCCCCGCCACCA